GGAAGUUAGGGGCAAUAACAGGUCUGUGAUGCCCUUAGAUGUCCUGGGCCGCACGCGCGCUACACUGACACAUGCAGCGAGUUUUCCUUGUCCGAAAGGUCUGGGUAAUCUUGUAAAUGUGUGUCGUGAUAGGGAUAGAUUAUUGCAAUUAUUAAUCUUGAACGAGGAAUUCCUAGUAAAUGCGGGUCAUCAGCUCGCGUUGAUUACGUCCCUGCCCUUUGUACACACCGCCCGUCGCACCUACCGAUUGAAUGAUUCGGUGAAACUUUCGGACCGUGGAUCCCGUCACUUCGGUGAUGAGAUUCGUGGAAAGUUAUUUAAACCUCAUCAUUUAGAGGAAGGUGAAGUCGUAACAAGGUUUCCGUAGGUGAACCUGCAGAAGGAUCAA
RNAcentral lists this ribosomal RNA (388 nucleotides) under Ochromonas sp. RNAcentral's name for it is "SSU rRNA". It matches the Rfam family "Eukaryotic small subunit ribosomal RNA", at positions 1439 to 1829 of the family's 1831-position model. Lineage: Eukaryota; Chrysophyceae; Chromulinales; Chromulinaceae. The record is from RNAcentral.